This 1773-nucleotide long non-coding RNA is filed under the name Ricinus communis (castor bean). RNAcentral's name for it is "long non-coding RNA (RCOM_LNC002969)". The record is from RNAcentral. Lineage: Eukaryota; Viridiplantae; Streptophyta; Magnoliopsida; Malpighiales; Euphorbiaceae.
AAAAGUUAUGUUUCUCUCUCGACUCACUCAAAUAAUCUUAAGCCUUCUUUUAGAUUCAAGAUCGUUGCCAUUGGCGGUGGCCCUUCCUUGCUCCGCCUCUUAUCCUCCUUCUAUCUCUUCUUUUUCUGGUUUUCCCUCUCUCUCAUCUUCUAUUCAUCUCUCCUUUUUUGCCUCUACUUCGACUGAUCUCUUUGUUGUUUGUGUGCUUGUCCAAUAUUAAGAUUGGUAUAAUAAAUUAUUAUUUCUUUCUCAUAUACCGAUUUAUUAAUUUUUAUUUAAUAGAGGUUUUACAUUUUUUAGGCGUUAUAUCAUUCUUUUUUUAGAAUAAAACUGAAAAAGAAAUUUAUUUUAAUUUUUAUCUAACUAGACUCGUUUAAAGAUAUUUCUAGAGUCGAUUUGUGGAUUUAAAAACUUACCGAGAAGAAUUUAGUAAUUAAUAGAAAUAAUUUCUUUCUCACUAUUAUAUGCAUUUUCUGAUUAUUGUUAUUAUUUUUUUAUGAUUAAGAUGUAUAUCCUUAAAAGAAGUAUUUAUAUUCUUCUGAUAGAAAAUAAAUUUUUUACUUUAAAUCUAAAUUUUCAAAUGUAAGAUAUAGAAAAUAUAACUUGCUUCAUUCUCCUAUUUUUUAGGAAAUCUUCAUUCCAAGAAAUUCUAAAAAAUAUGAUAAAAUAUUUUUUAAAAAUUCAAGAGAAUUUAACAAGAUAUUCUUACUAUCGCAACUAAUUUUAAAGGAUAAUUGUAAUUGACCCAUGAAAUUUCUCAUGUCACACUAGUUCGGAUCUUACUUUUUAAUAUUAUAUUAAAUAUCCUCCAUGGUUUGUAAUUAUAUAUUAAUCUCCCUUUUUGCUAGUUAUUCUUAUAGUCUUGCAAACAUUGGAUAGUUUUAGAGUGAAAAACCUCCCUUUUGGAGCGGUUUUCAAUGGCUUUUGCCACUGGAAACUUGGCCUAAUUUGUAUUUUCUUUUCUGUUUUGAGUGUUAUAUAUAUAUAUAUAUAUAUAUGUUACUGUUUGCAUGUUUAAUUAUGUUGUUCUCUUUGUUAUUAUUAGUAUUUUGUUACUAUCUUUUGUGGUGGCAAAUGGCCAGCCUUGGUUGAGUCCUAUGUGUUCCGACCUCUUGCUAGCGAAAGCUCUAUGGAAUGCUAUUUGGUGACAGUAGUUGGUGGGAGAGGGAGAAGGGCGCUGGCGACAAGCUUGGCGGUGAGAGAGAAUCAGUCCAGACCAAAUAUAAAUCCUUCUUGGCAGAAACAAUCACGGUCGUUGUUGAUUUCCUUCUUGCCAUUUAUCGCUAUUAUUGAGGGAUGUGGAAGUUCUUGGCUACUAAUAGUUUAUGGAUUUCAUUUGAGCUCUCAAUCUUUUUGGCAUAUUGCGAAGGCUAACGGUAGUCCAUCUUUUGGCGUGGGUUUGCUUUUGCUUUACAAUCAUUGAUCUUCAUGGUAGUUGCUAUGGCAGCUGUUUGUCCGUGCUCUCUACUGGUGGAAUUGUGGAUGGUGGUAGAGAGUUCUAGAAGGGGAGGAUUAGAUCAGGGGUUUAAUUGUCAUUUCAUUUCCUAUGUAGGCCUGUAGGCCGAAAUUUGUAUGGGUUUUAAACCUAGUUUCUUUCAACUUAAGGAUGUUAAGCUUGGUUCUUACCCCUUUGGGGUUUUUAGUCUUUUAGACCUUUGGUCUAGUCAUAUGGUUCGUUAAGUCCAGCCUUCAUGUAAUUACAUAUUUUUACUGUUUUGGGCCUUACCCCUUAUUUAAUGACAGCUAUUCUUUUCUUUCGACCAGAAAAAAAAA